This 911-nucleotide long non-coding RNA is filed under the name Cricetulus griseus (Chinese hamster). Its description in RNAcentral is "lncRNA (ENSCGRG00015037668.1)". The record is from RNAcentral. Lineage: Eukaryota; Metazoa; Chordata; Mammalia; Rodentia; Cricetidae.
GUGAGGGAAUAUAUCUGCUGUGUGUGCUGGGGUUUGGGUUGGUCCCAGGGGUAGCCUGGGAGUGCUGUGGAGUGCUGGCCCUGAGCACUGCUGGCUCUGAGCAGGGGAGUAGAGGAGGCUGAGAGCCAGACAAAGGUAGUAGCAUCAGCUCACUGUCAACACCCACCCAAGUAGCUGUCCUGGUUUCAGCCUUGUGCUUCUGAGCUAGCCCUGGAAGGCCCUUCUAGGAAUGGCAUCACCCAUGGGCUUGAUGCUGGCUUAUGAGCUGCAGGAGUGGUGUCACUGGUGUGUAGCAUCCCUGCUGAGGGCAAAUGCCCUAUGAUCAUCUACUUGCCUAAGGUCCCAUUGCCUUAAAUGUCUCUGAAAAGAUGCCUUGCAUUUCCUGGUGUUGGGACGACUGAGUAGAAGUUAUAAGAAACUGACUCCUGGGACUGAUCCACAAACGAGAGCCCUCAUCCAGUGGCUGAUGGAAGCAGAGACAGACAUCCACAGAUAUACAAUGAGCUGAAAUCUGGAAUCUAGUUGAAGAGAGGGAGGAAUGAAGAGCGAAGGGGUCUGUACCAGGUUGGAGAAAUCCACAGGAACAGUUGGCCUGAACAAGGGAGAGCACAUCGACCCCAGAUGCUGUCGGGGAGGCCAGUACAAGACUGAUCCAGACCCCUGAACAUGGAUGUCAAUAAGGAGGCCUCUGCACUCCAGGGAGCCUCUGGUAGUGGAUUAGUAUUUUUCCUUGGUGCAAGAAGGGACUUUGAGAGCCCAUCCCACAUGAAGGGAUACACUCUGGCCCUGGACACAUGGGGAAGGGCCCAGGCCCAGUCUGCCACCACAGGGCCCUGAGUGCAUGAUGCAACCAGCCUUUGAGUCUCAAAUCUCUGUAAAGUUCCUGCUUGCAGAUUGUGGCCUUUGCCCAG